RNAcentral lists this unclassified non-coding RNA (343 nucleotides) under soil metagenome. RNAcentral's name for it is "partial contains 5.8S ribosomal RNA, internal transcribed spacer 2, and large subunit ribosomal RNA". The stretch from base 1 to 120 matches the Rfam family "5.8S ribosomal RNA", at positions 35 to 154 of the family's 154-position model. The record is from RNAcentral.
GAUGAAGAACGCAGCGAAAUGCGAUAAGUAGUGUGAAUUGCAGAAUUCAGUGAAUCAUCGAAUCUUUGAACGCACAUUGCGCCCGCCAGCAUUCUGGCGGGCAUGCCUGUUCGAGCGUCAUUUCAACCCUCGACUUCCCUUUGGGGAAGUCGGCGUUGGGGACCGGCCGUAUACCGCCGGCCCCGAAAUGAAGUGGCGGCCCGUCCGCGGCGACCUCUGCGUAGUAAUCCAACUCGCACCGGAACCCCGACGUGGCCACGCCGUAAAACCCCCGACUUCUGAACGUUGACCUCGGAUCAGGUAGGAAUACCCGCUGAACUUAAGCAUAUCAAUAAGCGGAGGA